GCGUAAAGCGCACGCAGGCGGUCUGUUAAGUCAGAUGUGAAAUCCCCGGGCUUAACCUGGGAACUGCAUUUGAAACUGGCAGGCUUGAGUCUCGUAGAGGGGGGUAGAAUUCCAGGUGUAGCGGUGAAAUGCGUAGAGGUCUGGAGGAAUACCGGUGGCGAAGGCGGCCCCCUGGACGAAGACUGACGCUCAGGUGCGAAAGCGUGGGGAGCAAACAGGAUUAGAUACCCUGGUAGUCCACGCCGUAAACGAUGUCGACUUGGAGGUUGUUCCCUUGAGGAGUGGCUUCCGGAGCUAACGCGUUAAGUCGACCGCCUGGGGAGUACGGCCGCAAGGUUAAAACUCAAAUGAAUUGACGGGGGCCCGCACAAGCGGUGGAGCAUGUGGUUUAAUUCGAUGCAACGCGAAGAACCUUACCUACUCUUGACAUCCACGGAAUUUGGCAGAGAUGCCUUAGUGCCUUCGGGAACCGUGAGACAGGUGCUGCAUGGCUGUCGUCAGCUCGUGUUGUGAAAUGUUGGGUUGAGUCCCGCAACGAGCGCAACCCUUAUCCUUUGUUGCCAGCAAUUCGGUCGGGAACUCAAAGGAGACUGCCGGUGAUAAACCGGAGGAAGGCGGGGAUGACGUCAAGUCAUCAUGGCCCUUACGAGUAGGGCUACACACGUGCUACAAUGGCGCAUACAAAGAGAAGCGACCUCGCGAGAGCAAGCGGACCUCAUAAAGUGCGUCGUAGUCCGGAUCGGAGUCUGCAACUCGACUCCGUGAAGUCGGAAUCGCUAGUAAUCGUGGAUCAGAAUGCCACGGUGAAUACGU
RNAcentral lists this ribosomal RNA (813 nucleotides) under uncultured bacterium. RNAcentral's name for it is "bacterial SSU rRNA". It matches the Rfam family "Bacterial small subunit ribosomal RNA", at positions 558 to 1371 of the family's 1533-position model. The record is from RNAcentral.